RNAcentral lists this ribosomal RNA (493 nucleotides) under uncultured bacterium. Its description in RNAcentral is "bacterial SSU rRNA". It matches the Rfam family "Bacterial small subunit ribosomal RNA", at positions 15 to 518 of the family's 1533-position model. The record is from RNAcentral.
GAUCAUGGCUCAGGAUGAACGCUGGCGGCGUGCCUAACACAUGCAAGUCGAACGAGCGAGAGAUGAAACCUAGUGAUUCUCGAGCGAGUGGCGGACGGGUGAGUAACGCGUGGGUAACCUGCCUUACAGAGGGGGAUAACAGCCUGAAAAGACUGCUAAUACCGCAUAAGCACACAGUACCGCAUGGUACAGGGUGAAAAGAUUUAUCACUGUAAGAUGGACCCGCGUCUGAUUAGCCAGUUGGCAGGGUAACGGCCUACCAAAGCGACGAUCAGUAGCCGACCUGAGAGGGUGAUCGGCCACAUUGGGACUGAGACACGGCCCAAACUCCUACGGGAGGCAGCAGUGGGGGAUAUUGCACAAUGGAGGAAACUCUGAUGCAGCCGACGCCGCGUGAGUGAAGAAGUAUUUCGGUAUGUAAAGCUCUAUCAGCAGGGAAGAUAAUGACAGUACCUGACCAAGAAGCCCCGGCUAACUACGUGCCAGCCGCCGC